RNAcentral lists this long non-coding RNA (718 nucleotides) under Bos taurus (domestic cattle). Its description in RNAcentral is "long non-coding RNA NONBTAT011899". Lineage: Eukaryota; Metazoa; Chordata; Mammalia; Artiodactyla; Bovidae. The record is from RNAcentral.
CAGGAACCUCUUAAAGGGCGAGAGCGGCGGAGGGCGAGAACGCGGCCCGGCCCGGCCCGGCCAGGUCCCCGCCCUGUCCAGCCCAGGUCAGUGGUGGCCUGACCCACACUAGAGGUCUCUGAAACCCACGCCUACAGCUCCCUAUGGUAACAGUAGCUAACAUUUCUGAAGAGUUUCCUCUGUUACUGUGUGCCAAGCGUUCUUCAAAAUGUUUUACAUAUAUUAACUCAAUCUUCACAACAGCCCUGGAGAAUGACCUAGAGGUUAGUUAGGAAUGGCUAGACCUGCUUCUUUUUGGACUCAGACUCCUGGGAGCUGACCCAGAACUGUAUACCCUUAGGGAAUCUGAGGUCUUCACCACUCGUAUUGACCCUCAUCAUUCUGAUUUCCUUUAUGUGCUACCUUUGUUAUAGACUAUCUGGAUGACCCAAGAAAUAUUUAGAAUGAACAAGCAUUUUCAAGGUUUUGGCACAUUGAUUUCAUUUUGCUGCUAGGCGACACAGUAAUUUAGCUAAUUGUUUUGUAAUUAAAUAACAAAAACAUUUUCCUGUGAGCAAAUGUUUUUCUUUCAGAUAGUAUUUGUAAGUUAAAAAAAAAAAACCAAAACUUUAGAAGAGUAACACAAAGUUUCUAAUAUAUUGCCCAUCCUCAGUUUAUCCUGAAAGAAGGAGUUAACAUGUCCACAUCUGUAGUAUCUGAGUAUCUUGUUAAUGUAAAU